AAGGAUUUUAUAGAGUGAAUCAACUUGGUAAUGGAUUAAGGACCACAGGAAUGUGAGUAGUGGUUCCCAUUACCAACUAUCAUAACCUUUUCUGCAGGAAACAUUAAUAAAGGUUUUUUGUUACUGAAAAAGCACUGGCUCCCAUGUUAUGUAUUCCAUGAUGAAGAAAAUCCAAAAAUGAGAGGAAAAUUGAACAGUUGGGAAGUUGGCUCUCAUUCUUUAUUCUAACACAAUCAACCUCGUAAUGGCAAAUGGGUUCCUAGGACCUAAGGUGCGACGCCUAUUAUUUAUCAUCCAUAUCAAUGAUGUUUUAGCCACUGCAUUACCAAGAAAUAUGCUUCUGAAGUGUAUGGUCAUUUGGAUGACUGAAUUUGUCUAGAUUGCUCUGCAGAAAAGAAAGCUAGCA
Molecule: unclassified non-coding RNA, 406 nt
Filed under: Hevea brasiliensis (rubber tree)
Lineage: Eukaryota; Viridiplantae; Streptophyta; Magnoliopsida; Malpighiales; Euphorbiaceae
Source: RNAcentral